UAAAGUCUACAGGACAACUGAUCUAGUACAAUUAUAUAGACAAGAUGAUACCAUGUAUUCAUUUAAACAUUUGUUUUCUUUACUUAAGUGGUGAUAUCUGUAUUGGUGGCAUCAUUUUUCCCCUUAUAGACUCUAUCUGUCAUAAUCCUGUUUCAUUGCUUUACUUAGAAGCAAUUAGUUUCAUGUUAUAUAUCUUUAAAAUAUUCCCAAUUAGCCUCAUGUUACAGGCAAACUGCCAGGCAUAAGGCAAAACAAAACUAGAAAUGCUGUGUGAUCUUUCUGUUUUGAGAUGUUCACCAAUUGACCUUCUAUUUCAAAUAUUUGUGUUCGUGUGUGUGGUGUGUGUGUGUGUAUGUACCUUUUUAGAUUCAUUUGACUUAAUGUGAGGCUUGUUAGUGUCUUGUUACGCUUGUUGGAACUAAAGUCAAACCACUUUAAUUCUUAUGGAAACUAGAGGGAACGAGUAAAUAGAAUCUUGACGCUUGUGUCAUCUUGACCUGGUGCAACACAGGGAGCUCAAGAGCCAGGAAGAUGGACUGUAUAUUGUAGACAUAAGGUCAAGUGUCUGUCCUCCAAAGCUUCCUGUCUAUUCACUAUUCUGGGACAUUUCUAGACUAUGCAAUAUUGUCAAAAUCCUUGCCUAUUGGUAUUUACAUCCUUAAAUGACGUUAAGAGUUAAGAAAGGAAGGAAGGAAAGAAGAAGGAAGAAAGGAAAGAAGACAGAAGGAAGAAAGGAAGGAAGGGGCCAGUUAGUAAAUAAUUACUACACAACUCUGGAAAGGAGCCAUGUUAUUGGAUUAGUGAACAGUAGUGGACAGUAUGUGAUAUCAUGGUUAAGGGAUGGAUCCUCCAAAAGUAAAAGAGCCUGUGUGGGACAAAAACCUAAAAAUGACCCUGAAGGCAGUUCUACUGUCUCAAAAAACGAAGUGAUUUUUGAGUGGCUUCCGCGUACCAAGAACUAUGGGGAUGUAAAAAAUGUAACAUCCUUCACUUAGAUAUUAGUUGGAAAGACAAGAGAGCUAUGUAACAAUGCAAGGAGCAACAAUGAAAGACUUUCAGGUCAUUCUUCAACAUUCACUGAAGACAUCAGCAUCAGCACCACUUCAGUAAGCCCUGCUGGAACCCCGAGGGGCUCCAACAUCCAUGUGUAACAACGGUAGAGGAAAAUGAUGGACAGCACAGCUUCUGAACCGGACACACUUCAGUUCUCAAGAAGUCGGAUCUGAGAGCAUGCUUCCACCGCUGGAGCAUGCAUUCUGCUGGAAGAGGGGAAGAAGAGAUGAAUGAGAAAUCUAUCAAUCCAUCUCAGGGUUUCUAUGGCAACCAAUGUUGACUUCUUCGACUUUGAUUCUUACAAAUUUGGAGCACAGAUGAUACCAAUUUGAAAUUGUUGCAUACAAGGCUUGAAUUCUUCAAAAACCAAGGAGGAUAGGAUAUUGAUUUUAUGGUAUAAAAAAGAAGAUCUGAAGAAUUGGAUUUGCCAGAUCCUGGCUUAUGCAAAUGAAACUGGCAUUGAACAGAAGGAAGAGCUAUCUGGCCAAACACUCAAACUCCAGAAUUAAAGACUUGUUCAUCUGGAGGAAUGUCAUGCAUUCAACCUUUACCACUGAUGCUUGGGUAGUUCACAAUGUUUUACAAACUCUCAUCAACACAAGGAUUAGUGGUAUGAGCAUUCAAGGGUCAAGGCCAAAUUAGCAGCUUUGUGCUUUCCAUUUUGAGGUUGAAUUCAUACACAGCUGAUAACAUUCAAAUCUCAUCUCAAGUGAUGAGAGCAGAGAAAAUGAAUUGUUGUUGCUUUAAGCAGGACACUGUCUCAUUUCGUGAAUGCAAAUGUGUCGCUCUCUGGUGCAGCUCAAGAUUCUGCUUAUUAUAAACCUAAAACAGUCUGCCAUGCUUUUUGGUGUUUGCAUUGACACAUACAAUAUCAGAGUGCACUAGGAGGAGACAUUGUAUUUUGUUUCAACUAAUUUAUUUCGUGGACACACGUAAAACACCAUUCGUACAACGGGAAUGUCAAAAGCUUCAGAUGGCAAUUUCUAGUAAGGAAUGGUCAUGAAUAAAAUCAAAGUGGAACAAGAUGUGAUAUUUUUUCCUUUCUUCAUUUGGAAUUCAAAUAAUCUUAAGUUCUUGGAUUUAGCUUUUUUAUAUUUACAUGUAUGAAUGAAAUGCCUGUUUCAAAUAAGAUCUGUUCACGACCAGGUUACUGAGCCCCAACUAUAAUAAAAUAUUGAUAAUUUGUGUAAUCUUCUAAAGAAGUACAUAAAUCCAGGUUCGGGCAGUUUGGACUUAGUCACUGAGAGUGGAGUGGAGACACCCACUGCUCCACUCACACCUGAUGAUGAUUUAUGCCUGAUUACCUGCACUUUACGUCAAGAACAAUGAUCCUGGAGGUUGCCUCUUCUCUCAGUAUUGUUCUGCCACUAGAGCCAGCAUCUAUCUUUAAGUUUCAAUUUUCAAUCAGGGUCUAUCCCAGAGGAUCUGGAGGGUUUUCAUUUAAGUUUUGUUGAUUAGAUGAGAGUGUUUUAUGCAUACUUCACAGAUAGAAGCUAAUCCUGAUUGGCUAAUGUCCAAAAUGAGGACGAACAAUCAGGUAACAAACACAUCUUUCUCUUUUUACAUUCUCCACAACCCUUCUCUCCAAAAAAAGAAAAAGCAAGCUAGGCUUAUCUUUGUUUACCUCUGGCAAUUCAAGAAAUCUUCCUUGAGUGUGACUAUGUCUUAGGUACUUGGGAAUAUAAUGAUGAAGAGGGCUGUCACAGAUCCUGCUGAUAAGGAUCUCAGGGUCUAGUCAGAGGAGACGGAUGCUCAAGCAUGCAAUUCUGAUGCUAUGUAUUAAGGGACAUGACAUGGGCAGCUCAGGUGUUGACACAGCACAUAGCAGAAGCAUCUACACUGGACUUGAUAGGUCAGAAGGCUUCCUGGGGGAAGUUGUAUCUCAAACGGAACUGGAAGGAUAAGCAGGAGUUAGGCCAGAUGAAGAUAAGAUAGAAUACAGUAAGGGAGUUCCAGGAAGAAAGGACUGCAGAGAAGAAAGAGUGUGAUAGAGUAAAGCCCUGAAAUUAAAUGUUGCUCUGUGGGUGGAUCAGAGGAGACACAACAGAGGCUGGAGGCCAGGUACUAAAGGGCCUUGCGUACUACUUGAAGGAAUUUAAAUUUGAGUGAAGAGUUAGAAGGUUCUUGUAGUAAUCUAUUUAAUCUAUUUUAAACCUGUGUCUUGAUGGUAAGUGAUGGUUAGCAUUCCUGAAUGAAAUUGCUAAAUUUUUCAUGCUUCUUUUUCUAUUUCAGGUAUUAUAGACUAUGCAGAGAUUCAAAUGUAAGGAUUCCUAUAGUAAAUUUCUCCUGAAGGGGCUGGCUCGAGGCACUGUGAUUAAGUUUGUCAUGCUCCGCUUCAGCCACCUGGGUUUGUGGGUUUGGAUCCCAGGCGCAGACCUAUACUGCUCAUCAGCCAUGCCAUUGCAGCAACCCACAUAUAAGUGGAGGAAGAUUGGCACAGUUGUUAGCUCAGGGCUAAUCUUCCUCAGCAAAAAUAAAUAAAUGAAUAAAUAAAGAUUCUCUUGGUAUUGAGUGUGAAAAAAACCUUACCACUAAAUGUUUAUACAUCCUUUUAUUAGAAAAAUCAGAAGUGGAAAACUCAAUGGUUUUGCUUUUAAGAAGCUAAAAGCACAUUUUGUGUUGC
This 3676-nucleotide long non-coding RNA is filed under the name Equus asinus (donkey). Its description in RNAcentral is "lncRNA (ENSEASG00005034392.1)". Lineage: Eukaryota; Metazoa; Chordata; Mammalia; Perissodactyla; Equidae. The record is from RNAcentral.